CAGCAGCCGCGGUAAUACGUAGGUCCCGAGCGUUGUCCGGAUUUAUUGGGCGUAAAGCGAGCGCAGGCGGUUAGAUAAGUCUGAAGCUAAAGGCUGUGGCUUAACCAUAGUACGCUUUGGAAACUGUUUAACUUGAGUGCAAGAGGGGAGAGUGGAAUUCCAUGUGUAGCGGUGAAAUGCGUAGAUAUAUGGAGGAACACCGGUGGCGAAAGCGGCUCUCUGGCUUGUAACUGACGCUGAGGCUCGAAAGCGUGGGGAGCAAACAGGAUUAGAUACCCCGGUAGUCCCUGUCUCUUAUACC
This 301-nucleotide ribosomal RNA is filed under the name uncultured bacterium. RNAcentral's name for it is "partial 16S ribosomal RNA". It matches the Rfam family "Bacterial small subunit ribosomal RNA", at positions 509 to 808 of the family's 1533-position model. The record is from RNAcentral.